Long non-coding RNA from Marmota monax (woodchuck), 529 nucleotides. RefSeq lists it as uncharacterized. The transcript is spliced from 3 exons. Lineage: Eukaryota; Metazoa; Chordata; Mammalia; Rodentia; Sciuridae. The record is from RefSeq and is a predicted model, not a curated record.
UUAGUUUUCGGCGGACACAACAUCUUUGUUUGUAUGUGGUGCUAAGGAUCGAACCCGGGCCGCACGCAUGCCAGGCGAGCACGCUACCGCUUGAGCCACAUCCCCAGCCCAAUCAGCACCUUAAUGUUCUCAACCUCUGAAGUCGCCAGGAUUACAGGCAUGCACUACCACAAUCCACUCCCAUUCAGACAGGAUGAGGUGUUGCCCUGGCUGUCCCCAAGCUCCUGGGCUCGAGUGAUUCUCCUGCCUCAGCUUCCAAGUAGCUGGGACUACAUGCACACACCACCUUCCCCAGUUUUUAACUCCAAUUUUUGCCAGGUGAUGUGCCACAAUUUACACUAUCAGGGCCUUAGGAAUUGUGACAUGGUUUAAAAACAGUUACAGGGCUGUCUGUCCCUUUGGAGAUAGCCCACAUUCUCCCUUACUUGAAUAUUCCUAGCUUCACCCCAUGGGCAUCUCUCUUGAGAUUGCCCCUAUUCUCCCUUGAUUUGCACCUGAUUAUGCAUCUGCUAUCCUAAAUAAACCUCCA